This 490-nucleotide ribosomal RNA is filed under the name uncultured bacterium. RNAcentral describes it as "partial 16S ribosomal RNA". It matches the Rfam family "Bacterial small subunit ribosomal RNA", at positions 29 to 507 of the family's 1533-position model. The record is from RNAcentral.
AAUGAACGCUGGCGGCAUGCCUUACACAUGCAAGUCGAACGGCAGCAUGACCUAGCUUGCUAGGUUGAUGGCGAGUGGCGAACGGGUGAGUAAUGCAUCGGAACGUGCCUUUUAGUGGGGGAUAACGUAGCGAAAGUUACGCUAAUACCGCAUAUUCUCUGAGGAGGAAAGCAGGGGACCUUCGGGCCUUGCGCUAGAAGAGCGGCCGAUGUCGGAUUAGCUAGUUGGUGAGGUAAAGGCUCACCAAGGCAACGAUCCGUAGCGGGUCUGAGAGGAUGAUCCGCCACACUGGGACUGAGACACGGCCCAGACUCCUACGGGAGGCAGCAGUGGGGAAUUUUGGACAAGGGGCGCAAGCCUGAUCCAGCCAUGCCGCGUGAGUGAAGAAGGCCUUCGGGUUGUAAAGCUCUUUCGGCUGGGAAGAAAUCGCACCCUCUAAUACAGGGUGUGGAUGACGGUACCAGCAUAAGAAGCACCGGCUAACUACGUG